Molecule: ribosomal RNA, 490 nt
Filed under: uncultured bacterium
Lineage: Bacteria
Description: partial 16S ribosomal RNA
Rfam family: Bacterial small subunit ribosomal RNA
Source: RNAcentral
AUUGAACGCUGGCGGCAUGCCUUACACAUGCAAGUCGAACGGCAGCAUGAUCUAGCUUGCUAGAUUGAUGGCGAGUGGCGAACGGGUGAGUAAUACAUCGGAACGUGCCCCGUAGUGGGGGAUAACUAGUCGAAAGAUUAGCUAAUACCGCAUACGACCUGAGGGUGAAAGUGGGGGACCGCAAGGCCUCAUGCUAUAGGAGCGGCCGAUGUCUGAUUAGCUAGUUGGUGAGGUAAAGGCUCACCAAGGCGACGAUCAGUAGCUGGUCUGAGAGGACGAUCAGCCACACUGGGACUGAGACACGGCCCAGACUCCUACGGGAGGCAGCAGUGGGGAAUUUUGGACAAUGGGCGAAAGCCUGAUCCAGCAAUGCCGCGUGUGUGAAGAAGGCCUUCGGGUUGUAAAGCACUUUUGUCCGGAAAGAAAUGGCUCUGGUUAAUACCUGGGGUCGAUGACGGUACCGGAAGAAUAAGGACCGGCUAACUACGUG